This is an RNA transcript of Ochotona curzoniae (black-lipped pika), 6220 nucleotides long. It is a transcript of the gene named ankyrin repeat and IBR domain containing 1, with no coding region annotated. The record is from RefSeq and is a predicted model, not a curated record. NCBI's taxonomy places the organism in Eukaryota, Metazoa, Chordata, Mammalia, Lagomorpha, Ochotonidae. The transcript has 21 exons.
CGUUCGUGCUGCUGCUGCUGCUGCUUGGUGGCCGGCGCUGCUGGCUCCGCGAGGCUGCUGGCGAGAGGCUCCGGGGCUGCGACGGCGACAGGAGCACCCGCGGCCCUGCCCGGAGCGGGGAAGGGGAGGAGAGCGGCCCGGGGCGGAGUGCGCGCGCGUGUCAGGCUGAAGCAUGAGCCGGACUUGACGGCGAGGCGGAGGCAGCAGCCACCGCCCCCUCGUCCCCUCCCUCGAGGGAGGCGGCGCGGCGGCUGGAGAGGGAUGGGGGCCGCCCGCCCAGUCUGAGUCUCUCCGCGGCGCCUGAGGCUUCUUCACGCAGCGCUUGUCGCGGGGGUCCCCCCGACAGCCUCUGCCCGUCCUGGGGGUGGGUGGGGCGCACCGGCUACCUGAGGUCACCGGGGUGGCCGCGGCGGAGGCAGAGCUGCUGACCUGCGUCGGGGAGAGGGGGUCCGCCCGACCGUUUCCCCUCAGCCCAAGAAGUAGCCAAUGUGAAACCAUGUCACAGAAGCAUUCAAGAAGUAGCUGAAGGAGGAACAAUUUAAGUGCCACUGCCUAUCAGGAAAAAAAAAAAAACAAACAAACCAACCAUGGGAAAUACAACCACCAAGUUCCGUAAAGCGCUCAUCAAUGGUGAUGAAAAUCUGGCCUGCCAAAUAUAUGAAAACAACCCUCAGCUGAAAGAAUCCCUUGAUCCAAAUACAUCUUAUGGGGAGCCCUACCAGCACAAUACUCCACUCCACUAUGCUGCUAGACACGGAAUGAACAGGAUAUUAGGGACUUUUCUUUUUGGUAGAGAUGGAAAUCCAAAUAAGCGGAAUGUGCACAAUGAAACAUCUAUGCAUUUGUUGUGUAUGGGACCUCAAAUUAUGAUAUCUGAAGGAGCCCUUCAUCCUCGCUUAGCACGCCCCGCGGAAGAUGACUGCAGAAGAGCGGAUUGUCUGCAGAUGAUCUUAAGAUGGAAAGGAGCAAAACUGGACCAGGGAGAAUAUGAGAGAGCGGCUAUUGAUGCUGUGGAUAACAAGAAAAACACGCCCCUGCACUACGCCGCGGCCUCAGGGAUGAAAGCCUGUGUUGAGCUUUUAGUAAAACAUGGAGGAGACUUGUUUGCUGAGAAUGAAAAUAAAGAUACUCCUUGUGAUUGUGCUGAGAAGCAACACCACAAAGACCUGGCCCUCAAUCUGGAAUCUCAGAUGGUAUUCUCACGGGACCCAGAAGCUGAAGAAAUAGAAGCAGAAUAUGCUGCAUUAGACAAACGAGAGCCAUAUGAAGGAUUAAGACCUCAGGAUCUCCGCAGACUGAAAGACAUGCUUAUUGUGGAAACUGCAGACAUGCUCCAGGCACCUCUGUUUACUGCUGAAGCUUUACUUCGCGCUCAUGACUGGGACAGGGAAAAGUUACUUGAAGCUUGGAUGUCCAACCCAGAGAACUGCUGCCAACGAUCAGGUGUGCAGAUGCCAACUCCACCGCCCAGCGGGUACAAUGCUUGGGACACACUCCCUUCUCCGAGAACUCCCAGGACCACACGUUCGUCUGUCACCUCCCCUGAUGAGCUCAGUCUGUCUCCUGGGGAUUUAGACACCAGUUUGUGUGACAUUUGCAUGUGCAGUAUUUCUGUGUUUGAAGACCCAGUGGAUAUGCCCUGUGGACAUGACUUUUGUAGAGGAUGUUGGGAGUCGUUUUUGAAUCUAAAAAUUCAAGAGGGUGAGGCUCACAACAUUUUCUGCCCUGCCUACGAUUGCUUCCAGCUUGUGCCUGUGGACAUCAUCGAGAGCGUGGUUUCUAAGGAGAUGGACAAGCGGUACCUGCAGUUUGAUAUUAAGGCUUUUGUUGAAAAUAACCCUGCCAUUAAAUGGUGUCCUACCCCGGGCUGUGAAAGAGCAGUCAGACUGACAAAGCAAGGCUCAAGCGCGUCCGGAUCUGAAACACUCAGCUUCCCGCUGCUGCGGGCGCCUGCUGUGGACUGCGGGAAAGGACACCUCUUCUGCUGGGAGUGCCUUGGUGAAGCACACGAACCUUGUGACUGCCAAACAUGGAAAAACUGGCUACAAAAAAUCACAGAAAUGAAACCGGAAGAACUCGUUGGAGUCAGUGAAGCCUACGAGGACGCUGCCAAUUGUCUCUGGCUGUUAACCAACUCCAAGCCUUGUGCAAACUGCAAGUCUCCAAUACAGAAGAAUGAAGGCUGCAACCACAUGCAGUGUGCCAAGUGCAAGUAUGACUUUUGCUGGAUUUGCCUAGAAGAAUGGAAAAAGCAUAGUUCUUCCACCGGAGGUUAUUACAGGUGUACUCGCUAUGAAGUCAUUCAGCACGUGGAGGAGCAGUCCAAGGAAAUGACCGUGGAGGCCGAGAAAAAACACAAACGGUUUCAGGAGCUUGACAGAUUUAUGCACUAUUACACAAGAUUUAAGAACCAUGAGCAUAGUUACCAGUUAGAACAACGCCUUCUUAAAACAGCCAAAGAAAAGAUGGAGCAAUUGAGCAGAGCUCUCAAAGAAACUGAAGGAGGCUGCCCAGAUACCACUUUCAUUGAAGACGCAGUUCAUGUGCUCUUAAAAACUCGACGUAUUCUCAAGUGUUCUUAUCCAUAUGGAUUCUUCUUAGAACCCAAAAGCACAAAAAAAGAAAUUUUUGAACUAAUGCAAACAGACCUAGAAAUGGUCACUGAAGACCUUGCCCAAAAAGUCAACAGACCUUACCUUCGCACACCCCGCCACAAGAUCAUCAAGGCAGCCUGUCUGGUGCAGCAGAAGAGACAAGAGUUCCUGGCCUCUGUGGCUCGCGGUGUCGCUCCUGCAGACUCGCCGGAAGCCCCGAGGCGCAGCUUUGCUGGUGGAACAUGGGAUUGGGAAUAUUUAGGAUUUGCGUCACCUGAGGAAUAUGCUGAGUUCCAGUACCGGAGGCGACAUAGGCAGCGUCGCCGUGGAGAUGUGCACAGUCUGCUGAGAAAUGCCCCCGACUCUGAUGAGCCCAGCGAAAGCACCAUAGAUAUUGCGGAAGGUGGCAGUAGCCGCAGGCCUGGCACCUCCGUGGUCAGUUCUGCCUCUAUGAGCGUUCUGCACAGCUCCUCCUUGCGUGACUACACCCCUGCCAGUCGCUCUGAAAACCAGGACUCUCUGCAGGCCCUGAGUUCCCUGGAAGAAGAUGACCCUAACAUACUACUCGCAAUCCAGCUGUCACUGCAGGAGUCCGGCCUGUCCCUGGACGAUGAGACUAGAGAACUGGUCAGUAGUGAAGCAUCCCUGGGAGCAAUAGGCACUUCCUUGCCAUCCAGGCUGGACUCGGUGCCCAGGAGCACUGAGAACCCACGGGCUGCCCUGAGCAGCUCUGAGCUGGCAGAACUCGGGGACAGCCUCACGAGACUCGCAGCAGAAUGCGACCCCUUUCCAGCUGACACGGUGAGUUCACGCCCUCUCGAAGAGGCAAGAAGGGACUUGUGCCCCUCAUCCAGUGACCCUGACCCAGCUGGCCAGGACCCCACCAUCAGCGACAAUCUUCUCGGCAACAUCAUGGCCUGGUUUCAUGACAUGAGUCCCCAGAGCAUUGCCCUGAUCCCUCCAGCGACAGCGGGGCCCAGUGCGGAGCCCGUGCCACCUCGUGUGGAGGCCGCAUUGGAAGGCAUGAGGGAGGUGGAGCCAGCGCGGCAGGGAGAAGAGCCGGAGUACGAGGCUGCUGGCGGAAGCCAGGGAGAAGGCGGUCAGUUGGAAGGUUUGCUGGCUGAGGAAGCCACGCCAUCCCUUGGUGACGAUGGGAACGAAGCAGGCGGCCAAGGGCGCGGGCCAGGGGCUCCAGGUCAGACACCUCCGACGUUCGGUGACUGGCGGGGACAUGCACACCUGGUGUGAGCUGCCGCAGGCACUGAGGCCUGGCCCAGGACGCUGCGCUUCAGUCGUCCCAGCUCUGCGCUGCACCAUAGUAACACACAGGGGCCGCAGCUCGGCUCUCGGUUUUCGCCGUACAGGGAAUUUCUUUUGUAUUUAAUUGGAUAGCUUUCCCCCUUUUUGCUGGCAGAAGGAAGAGCAAGAGAAAAAGAAAAGCAAAAUACACAGGUUGUAUUCCUCAUCUUAGAAAGAGGCAUCAUCUGUGUGGCCCAGGAGCACUGUAGGGGAGGCUCCUGUCCUCGUCUGGGGUGACUUUCCUCUGAAACCACCCGAGUGCCCGUUUUCUUCAUCUGAACGCUCCCCUGGACAGACCUGGUAGCUGUGCAUCCUUGGUCCCCGUCGGUCCUGUCUCAGCCUCAUGAAUCGAGCGCUCCAAGGCUUCUCUGUAGUGUCUACCACAGGCUCAUGACUUUUCAUUUUCACAUGAAUCAAAAAUUUCUUUCCCUGUCCAUAUCCAGCCCAGUUGUGCCAAACUCUGUCUCGUGCGCUGACCCACAAGGCGGUUAGGUGUCCCACGUGCCAGCGUGCUCCAGGGCAGCGUCAGCCUUCUCAGGAGGUCACGGUGCCACUCGGCAGCAAAGGUAUUCCCAACUUCGUGUGCUUCUGUUGCCAUGGAGACUGCAUUUCACUAAAUGUAGCCUGUAGUUUAAGUUAACUAAACCUAAUGCUGCUGUUAAAACAGUUUAUUUUAAUAUGAAAAUACAGUUGAUUAGCAACAGCGGUGCUGUGUUUUAAGAGACACUUUAUCAGAAGUGCAAUCCUAGUUCUUUGUUUUCACAAUUUUACAGUGCAUUCUAAUUACUAAUGGGUGCAAUUACUUUUAAUGGUGUUUUAUAAAAUAGAAAAAAAGUGGAGUUUUCAUGAGUUAUAGUAAAUCCCACAACUAUUUAAAAAUUCAAUAAAAACAUCCUUCGCAACAUGUUUUAUCGUGCCUUUGCCUAACCCGAACGGAUAGUUGCCAGUUAAAUAAGUGAGUAAUUCAAAUUUCAGUGUCUCUUCUGAAACAACUAUGCUAUGAAUUGCGAAGACCUCCAUAAAACCACCCAUGGCCUUGCCUUUACAGUAAACAUGACAACUAAAUGUUCAGUUUGUUUGCCUAGAUUGCAGAUGCUGACGUGUCUAUUGCACAAUACUCGUGUUCUGUGUGAUUACUGUUCAGUGUUGGAAAAUGAUCAGCUUCCUAGUUACCAGUGUCUUAACGUGAAGAAAACACUGCUCUUAGUUGUAAUGAAGAUACCGUGGUACAGUGUGUAAUUAAAACUAGAGAAAACUGUUGGAAUGGCUGUUUUGCUUACAUAUUCUCAGAAAUAGCGUUGCACAAGCAGAGUAGGUCCGUGAAGCGUUCCACGCGUCUCCGCGGCAUGUUGGCUGACGCCUGCAGAAAGCCGAACCGCGGCGCUUUGUACAGGCAAGUCCUCGGUGGGGUGUUAGCGCUGGUAUCCACAUGAGUGGUGAUGAUGAUUUGUGAUUUUUUGUUUCGUUUUGUUUUGCUUCUCCACCCUCCCCCCAACCCUGGUUUUGAAAUGUUUUUGUGCUUUGACUAAACGUGGCAAGAACAUUGUUAAUUUAAGUAUUGAAUAGUCCCAGGUUCUGCCAGGAUGAACCAUGUGGGACUUGUCCCUGCACCGUGGAUGUCAAAGGUCUACAUUUGAUUUUGUUUCUCCGAUUAUCAGACACUUGAUACCAAUCCCUGUGGACAUGGGGGUGGGGAGAACUGUUAACUUUAUCUGCAGUGUAUUACUGUACAUGCAACUAAAGUAGUCCAUUCAAGGAUUUUUUUUUUUACAAAUUUAUUUUGCAUUAACAACCCUCAACACCACUAAUUUGUAGAACAUGCUGUGAGUUUCCGAUGGAAACAGCCAUUGCAUCCCUCUGAGGCAUUUGGAGCAGGUGCGCGGGAUGAGUGGGCAUCCCUCUGAGGCAUCUGGCACAGGUGCGCGGGAUGAGGGAUGCGCGGGCGCUGUGUGGGAGGCAGCACUGGCCGCAGCCCGCUUCCCUUGCAGCCUGUGCCACAUAGCCUUUGUUUCCGUGCCCUUCUUUCCUGAGCGUGAGAAGUGAUCGUUACCCAGUUUGUAUUUCCUUGGUACAUAUUUUAAAAACAACACAGUCACUGACUUUACAAUUCAGUAAUAACGUUUGGCAAAGCCUAUUUUGUAAACAAGUUAAUUUUAUAAUGUAAAAAAAAAGUUAAUUUUACCUUGUUACUUGCACUUUCCUAGUCUAUACUUGAUACAUUCCCACUUUAUAUGCAGUAGGAUUCUACAAACGUGCAGAUGUUGGCCAAAUGAAUGCUGUUAAUAAGAUGUAAAAUUAUUUGAUUAAACAUUUAUUACUUAAACUAC